GACCACUCCCACAGGAGUUAAGGCCAUACGGACAGCCGGGUCCACUGCCGA
RNAcentral lists this small RNA (51 nucleotides) under human gut metagenome. RNAcentral's name for it is "Streptococcus sRNA SpF59 (ldcC RNA)". It matches the Rfam family "Streptococcus sRNA SpF59 (ldcC RNA)". RNAcentral also lists the same sequence under 1 other name. The record is from RNAcentral.